UGAUCCAGAGUACCACGGGACACGUGAAACCCUGUGGGAAGCAGGAGGGACCAUCCUCCAAGGCUAAAUACUACUUAGUGACCGAUAGCGCAUAGUACCGUGAGGGAAAGGUGAAAAGAACCCCGGGAGGGGAGUGAAAUAGAACCUGAAACCCUGUGCUUACAAGCUGUGGGAGCACUUUAUAUGUGUGACCGCGUACUUUUUGUAGAACGGGCCAACGAGUUACGACAGUAAGCAAGGUUAAGUACUUAAGGUAUGGAGCCGUAGUGAAAGCGAGUCUUAAAUGGGCGUUAAGUUUUCUGUCGUAGACCCGAAACCGGGCGACCUACCCAUGAGCAGGAUGAAGCGAAAGUAAAAUUUCGUGGAGGUCCGAACCCACGAGCGUUGAAAAGCUCGGGGAUGACUUGUGGGUAGCGGUGAAAUUCCAAUCGAGCCCGGAGAUAGCUGGUUCUCCCCGAAAUAGCUUUAGGGCUAGCCUCAAGGUUGAGAAAUACGGAGGUAGAGCACUGAAUAUCCUAGGGGGCAUUGCGCUUACCGAAGAUUAUCAAACUCCGAAUGCCGUUAUUUUAUACUUGGGAGUCAGACUGUGGGUAAUAAGAUUCAUAGUCGAGAGGGCAACAGCCCAGAUCGUCAGCUAAGGUCCCUAAAUGUAAGUUAAGUGGUAAAGGAUGUGGGAUUGCAUAGACAACCAGGAUGUUGGCUUAGAAGCAGCCACUCAUUUAAAGAGUGCGUAAUAGCUCACUGGUCGAGUGAUCCUGCGCCGAAGAUUACCGGGGCUAAAACUUACUACCGAAGCUACGAUAUCAUUUAUGAUAGGUAGGGGAGCUUCCUAUGCAGGCUGAAGCAUGACCGUAAGGACAUGUGGACAGUAUAGGAGUGAGAAUGUUGGCAUGAGUAGCGAGACGUGGGUGAGAAUCCCACGGGCCGUAAACCCAAGGUUUCCAGGGGAAGGUUCGUCCGCCCUGGGUUAGUCGGGACCUAAGCCGAGGCCGAAAGGCGUAGGUGAUGGACAACAGGUUGAGAUUCCUGUACCACCGAUAAUCGCUUGAGAGAAGGAAUGACACAGUAGGAUAAGCUAACCACACUGUUGGUUAUGUGUGGCUAAGUACUGAGGCAGUCAAGGUAGGCAAAUCCGCCUUGAUAAUGCUGGGGUACGAUGGGGAGCGAAAUUAAGUAGCGAAGUAGCUGAUUUCACACUGUCGAGAAAAGUUUCUAUCGAGAUUAAAGGUGCCCGUACCGCAAACCGACACAGGUGGGUGAGGAGAGUAUCCUAAGGCCAGCGAGAGAACUGUUGUUAAGGAACUCGGCAAAAUGACCCCGUAACUUAGGGAG
Molecule: ribosomal RNA, 1332 nt
Filed under: Clostridium perfringens
Lineage: Bacteria; Bacillati; Bacillota; Clostridia; Eubacteriales; Clostridiaceae
Description: partial 23S ribosomal RNA
Rfam family: Bacterial large subunit ribosomal RNA
Source: RNAcentral